Molecule: ribosomal RNA, 274 nt
Filed under: uncultured bacterium
Lineage: Bacteria
Description: partial 16S ribosomal RNA
Rfam family: Bacterial small subunit ribosomal RNA
Source: RNAcentral
AUACGGAGGGUGCAAGCGUUACUCGGAAUCACUGGGCGUAAAGCGCGCGCAGGCGGCUUGAUAAGUUGGAUGUGAAAGCCUACGGCUCAACCGUAGAACUGCAUCCAAAACUGUCAAGCUAGAGUCUGUGAGGGGAAGAUGGAAUUAGUUGUGUAGGGGUAAAAUCCGUAGAGAUAACUAGGAACACCAAAAGCGAAGGCGAUCUUCUGGAACAGUACUGACGCUGAGGCGCGAAAGCGUGGGGAGCAAACAGUAUUAGAUACCCUAGUAGUCC